This 263-nucleotide long non-coding RNA is filed under the name Citrus maxima (pomelo). RNAcentral's name for it is "long non-coding RNA (CMAX_LNC004194)". The record is from RNAcentral. Lineage: Eukaryota; Viridiplantae; Streptophyta; Magnoliopsida; Sapindales; Rutaceae.
AUCCGCCGCCAUUACUGCAUGUUAGAGCUCAUCAUCGCCAUCAUUACAUUUAACGCAAUUUAUUUCUAUCUUGGCCUUCACGUCCACCACCAAUUGUUUCUCAGUCACCAUUGUUUGAUGAGGGCAUUUUGGUAAUUUUAUACUUUAAGGGUAUUUUGGUAAUUUUAAUUUCGAGGUAAACAUUUUUUAGAUCCUUAAAGAUUAUUUAAAUUGUGAUACAACUCAUAUGUAUUUAAUUUUAUUCGUAAUAAUUGUUUCAUGAC